Molecule: ribosomal RNA, 429 nt
Filed under: Bacillota bacterium
Lineage: Bacteria; Bacillati; Bacillota
Description: Firmicutes bacterium partial 16S ribosomal RNA
Rfam family: Bacterial small subunit ribosomal RNA
Source: RNAcentral
UGGGGAAUUUUGGACAAUGGGCGCAAGCCUGAUCCAGCCAUGCCGCGUGCGGGAAGAAGGCCUUCGGGUUGUAAACCGCUUUUGUCAGGGAAGAAAAGGUUCUGGCUAAUACCUGGGACUCAUGACGGUACCUGAAGAAUAAGCACCGGCUAACUACGUGCCAGCAGCCGCGGUAAUACGUAGGGUGCAAGCGUUAAUCGGAAUUACUGGGCGUAAAGCGUGCGCAGGCGGUUAUGCAAGACAGAGGUGAAAUCCCCGGGCUCAACCUGGGAACUGCCUUUGUGACUGCAUGGCUAGAGUACGGUAGAGGGGGAUGGAAUUCCGCGUGUAGCAGGGAAAUGCGUAGAUAUGCGGAGGAACACCGAUGGCGAAGGCAAUCCCCUGGACCUGUACUGACGCUCAUGCACGAAAGCGUGGGGAGCAAACAGG